UNNNACGAACGCUGGCGGCAGGCCUAACACAUGCAAGUCGAGCGGACCUUCGGGUCAGCGGCGGACGGGUGAGUAACGCGUGGGAACGUGCCAAAGGGUACGGAAUAGCCCAGGGAAACUUGGAUUAAUACCGUAUAAUGUCUUCGGACCAAAGGUUUAUCGCCCUUUGAUCGGCCCGCGUUGGAUUAGGUAGUUGGUGGGGUAAAAGCCUACCAAGCCGACGAUCCAUAGCUGGUUUGAGAGGAUGAUCAGCCACACUGGGACUGAGACACGGCCCAGACUCCUACGGGAGGCAGCAGUGGGGAAUCUUAGACAAUGGGGGAAACCCUGAUCUAGCCAUGCCGCGUGAGCGAUGACGGCCUUAGGGUUGUAAAGCUCUUUCACCGGUGACGAUAAUGACGGUAGCCGGGGAAGAAGCCCCGGCUAACUCCGUGCCAGCAGCCGCGGUAAUACGGAGGGGGCUAGCGUUGUUCGGAAUUACUGGGCGUAAAGCGCGCGUAGGCGGAUUGUUAAGUUAGGGGUGAAAUCCCGGGGCUCAACCUCGGAACUGCCCUUGAUACUGGCAAUCUAGAGAUCGGAAGAGGCGAGUGGAAUACCGAGUGUAGAGGUGAAAUUCAUA
RNAcentral lists this ribosomal RNA (619 nucleotides) under uncultured bacterium. RNAcentral describes it as "bacterial SSU rRNA". It matches the Rfam family "Bacterial small subunit ribosomal RNA", at positions 25 to 692 of the family's 1533-position model. The record is from RNAcentral.